This 250-nucleotide ribosomal RNA is filed under the name uncultured bacterium. RNAcentral describes it as "partial 16S ribosomal RNA". It matches the Rfam family "Bacterial small subunit ribosomal RNA", at positions 527 to 776 of the family's 1533-position model. The record is from RNAcentral.
AGAGGGGGCAAGCGUUGCUCGGAAUUACUGGGCGUAAAGGGCGCGUAGGCGGAAUGGCAAGUCGGUCGUGAAAUCCUUCGGCUCAACCGAAGAACGUCGAUCGAAACUGCCGUUCUUGAGGAUUGCAGAGGAGACUGGAAUUCCCGGUGUAGCGGUGAAAUGUGUAGAGAUCGGGAGGAACACCGGUGGCGAAGGCGGGUCUCUGGGCAAUUCCUGACGCUGAGGCGCGAAAGCGUGGGGAGCAAACGGG